UUUAGUCAUAUGCUUGUCUCAAAGAUUAAGCCAUGCAUGUGUAAGUAUGAACUAUUUCAGACUGUGAAACUGCGAAUGGCUCAUUAAAUCAGUUAUAGUUUGUUUGAUGGUACGCGUGCUACCGGAUAACCGUAAAUUCUAGAGCUAAUACGCGCAACAAACCCCGACUUCCCAAAGGGUUGCAUUUAUUAGAUAAAAGGCUGACGGGCUUUGCCCGCUGUCCGAUGAUUCAUGAUAACUUCGACGGAUCGCACGGCCCUCGCGCCGGGCGACGAUCAUUCAAAUUUCUGCCCUAUCAACUUUCGAUGGUAGGAUAGGGGCCUACCAUGGUGGUGACGGUGACGGAGAAUUAGGGUUCGAUUCGAGAGGGAGCCUCGAGAAACGGCUACCACAUCCAAGGAAGGCAGCAGCGCAAGAAAUUACCCAAACCCGACACGGGAGGUAGUGACAAUAAAUAACAAUACCAGGCUCUUUUCGAGUCUGGUAAUUGAAUGAGUACAAUCUAAAUCCCUUAAUGAGGAUCCAUUGAGGGCAAGUCCGGUGCCAGCAGCCGCGGUAAUUCCAGCUCCAAUAGCGAUAUUUAGGUUGUUGCAGUUAAAAAGCUCGAAGUUGGACUUUGGGACGGGUCGGUCGGUCCGCCGCGGUGUGCAAUCGGUCGUCCCAUCCUUCUGUCGGCGAUGCGUGCCGGCCUUAACUGGCGGGGUCGUGCCUCCCAAGCUGUUAUUUUGAAGAAAUUAGAGUGCUCAAAGCAAGCCCACGCCUGGAUACAUUAGCAUGGGAUAACAUCACGGAUUUCGGUCCUAUUGUGUUGGCCUUCGGAUCGGAGUAAUGAUUAAGAGGGACAAAUGGGGGCAUUCAGAUUUCAUAGUCAAGGUGAAAUUCUUGGAUUUAUGAAAGACGAACCACCGCGAAAAGCAUUUGCCAAGGAUGUUUUCAUUAAUCAAGAACGAAAGUUGGGGCUCGGUUGGAUCGAUACCGCCCUAGUCUCAACCAUAAACGAUGCCGACCAGGGAUCGGCGGAUGUUGUUUUAGACUCGCCGCACCUUUGUGAAAAUCAAAGUCUUUGGGUUCCGGGGAGGUAUGGUCGCAAGGGCUGAAACUUAAAGGAAUUGACGGAAGAGCACCACCAGAGUGGAGCCUCGCGGCUUAAUUUGACUCAACACGGGAAACUUACCAGGUCCAGACAUAGCAAGGAUUGACAAACUGAGAGCUCUUUUCUUGAUUCUAUUGGUGGUGGUGCAUGGCCGUUCUUAGUUGGUGGAGCCGAUUUGUUUGGUUAAUUCGAUAACGAACGAGACCUCAGCCUGCUAACUAGCUACGCGAGGCAUCCCUCCGCCAGCUUCUUAGAGGGACUAUGGCCGCUUAGGCCACGGAAGUUUGAGGCAAUAACAGGUCUGUGAUGCCCUUAGAUGUUCUGGGUCGCACGCCGCUACACUGAUGUAUUCAACGAAGUCUAUAGCCUUGGCCGACAGGCCCGGUAAUCUUUGAAAAUUUCAUCGUGAUGGGGAUAGAUAAUUGCAAUUUUUGGUCUUCAACGAGGAAUUUUAGUAAGCGCCGAAAUCAGCUCAUGCUGACUAUGUCCCUGCCCUUUGUACACACCGCCCGUCGCUCCUACCCAUUGAAUGAUCCGGUGAAGUGUUCGAUCGAGGCGACGGGGCGGUUCGCCGCCCGCGACGUCGCGAGAAGUCCACUGAACCUUAUCAUUUAGAGGAAGGAGAAGUCGAAUAAGGUUUCCGUGGUAAACCUGCGGAAG
This 1753-nucleotide ribosomal RNA is filed under the name Musa schizocarpa. RNAcentral's name for it is "bacterial SSU rRNA". It matches the Rfam family "Eukaryotic small subunit ribosomal RNA". The record is from RNAcentral. Lineage: Eukaryota; Viridiplantae; Streptophyta; Magnoliopsida; Zingiberales; Musaceae.